This 398-nucleotide long non-coding RNA is filed under the name Zonotrichia albicollis (white-throated sparrow). RNAcentral describes it as "lncRNA (ENSZALG00000010672.1)". The record is from RNAcentral. Lineage: Eukaryota; Metazoa; Chordata; Aves; Passeriformes; Passerellidae.
AGAUACUGCAAUGGAACUGCCAUAAAUGCACUGAAGGGCAUAGGAGGGGAGGUGUUCAGAAGGAACCUGGAAGAUCUCUCUUUCAAGCAGCAUGUCUCCCAAGCAAAGCCUCCCAGGGGAGCUCUGGCAGGCACAGAAAGGCUAAAAGCAGCUGGUGUUGGCUUGCUGUUAACAAAGGAUUUUCGCCUGCGAGUUUCCCUGCGAAUGACUUUUGCAAGGUUAAGCAAAGCAUCUGCAGGACCAAAACAAGACUUAAAGCAACAAUGGGUUCAGAGCAGAGCUAAUAUCUGCUGUGUGCUGCUCCAAGAAUCCCAGUGCUCAAUAACUCCAGAAGUAUAAUCAGAUAGGAACUAAAGUAGUAAAUACACUGAAAUAGUUUAAAUCAUUGUACAGGUAAU